UACCAGAAACCAACAACCCGGUCCCAGUGACUGGUUAUAACAACUCGGAAUUAAGAAGACUUCAAUAUAAACACCAAACAUUCAUCUUCGAUUUGCGUUGAUCUAUCUCGGUUUUGUCUAAACAAACUACGCGGUUUUCUAAUUUCGCCUAAGUAUAAAUAAAUGAUAGACUGUACGUAUGAACUAUUAACUGUCCCGCUGAAUAUGUUUAAGUGCAUAUUUAUUUAUGUGUUCAACAUAUAAAAAAAUAAUCCAUAUGCAGACUACAAACUAAAUAUUUUAAAUGUAAGUAAUCAUAUUAAACAUAAUUAAAAACCAAUAAGUCGUGUAACAUAUCAUAAUUUUUGUUUAGUGCAACAAUGUUUCCGAACCCGUGGGUUACUCCAGUUCCACCUCCUGUGGUGACCAAAUCGGUUGUUUACAAAAACAAUACUCCAACUACCUAUCCAUAUUAUGUUACGCCAAAUGCCUUACAAAAUAUUGUUGUAAGUUUAUAUAGCAUUAAAUUAAGAAAUAAAUACUAUCAUCCGUAUAUUUGUUUAUGCAAUAUAUUUCUGUUAUCAUAUAUUGAAAAUAAAAGCAUUGUAUAUUAGAUUAUUACUAAUAUUUAUAAUUUGAAUUAAUUACAUGAUGUAGUUAAUUUAAAUAUGUUUAAUACACAUUUAAAUCAAUAAUUAAAUUACUAUCCAAGAAAGUUGUUUACUUGAGUAGAUAUGGAGAUGUUUUAAUAGGACCAUACAGCAUAUUUUAUAGACAAAUAUUUUAUUACUUCCCUAUAUUUUUCAGAUGAACCCACAAAAUAGUUUAUCAUUGAAUGCAACAUCAGUCGUAAGUAAUUUCUGUAAGAUAAACAUUAGUAUAAGUUACAUUUUUAGACAAAUGAAAAAUCUUUAUACAAAAUUGUUUUUUCUGAAAGAAAAAGACACUUUGUAUACAAUUAUUGUUAACUCUAAUAGUCUAAUAGUCUAGUACAAAAAAAUGUGAAAAACUGCUUACAUAAUUAAAUCCAUGUUAAACGUUUUAAUUUGGAUAUUUUUGAAUUUUAAAGUAUUCAUGACUUAUUCAAAUUCAUUAAAAAAAUUAAUUUAACUAAAUAAUUAUUCAUCUAUAUUCUGUUUAGUUAGUAAGAAAAAACAAUUUAAGUUAUGGAAGCAGAAUAGGAACAGAGAUGAUUAGGUAGAGUACAAAAGACUACAAGAAAGUUAAGAAGGUGGCAAGCAAACCGAAGUUAAAAAAUACUAGGAACAAAGAAAGGUGAAAAAAAAGUUUAUCGAUUAAUCGAGAUUAGAAAAAAACUGUCCAAGGAUUUCCAUAAUGUAUGAGAAAGACAAAAAAAAAAAUAAAUAGAUGUGAUUGAGAAUGAUGUAUGGGGGAUCUUGUCUAAUGGAAGUUUAAGAUAGCGGUGGCUGACCCUAAUUAGUUAGGGUGAAGGUGAAGCAGAAAAAAAAAAUUAUUCAGAAUAAGAUUUAACUGCUUUUGUAAAUGUAAACUCAGCUGUUGAACAAGUCUAGACUCUCUAAUUGCAUUCUGUUGUCUUUGCUGUUGACUUUGUACUUACAAGGAGCAAGGAUGGAAGGGGAUUAGUUUGGAAGUAAAGUUUUUUUUUAUCUAAGCCGUUCAGUAUUAACCUGAAUAGAGUAAAUUAAUAUUGAAUUAUCUUUUAACUUGAAUAAUUAAGACUUAAACUUGUUUGUUAGAAUUAUUAUCUAUUUUUAAUACCUAAUUGAAGUUAAUUUUCAAUAAAAAAAAAAAUGUAAUUCAAAUAUAAAUAUUUGUACAAUAUUUUUAAUCCUCUUCCUUAUGAAUAAUAUAAAAAAAAAAAAAAACAUAAUUUGAUUAUCCUCGGAGAUAUUCAAAGGGAGUGUAUCUUAGGACAACCUGUACACAGAUAAAUUGUUAUAUAUUUUUAUGGCAGUUUUUUUAUGCUUAUAUUUUAAAUAAUCUAAACACGCUAAAAUGAAAAAUCCACAUUAAAAGUGUAGUAUUUAAUGUGUAACAUUUCAAAAAUAUUAUUGUUUAGUUAAAAGUUCAAUACUUACCAAUAUAUUUAAUUAAUAAUUUCCUUAUUUAUUAUAAAGUAACUAUCUAUUUUAGAUGAACCAGUCACUUCAACCAAAUGCUAUCGAUCCAGCUGUAAGUUUAACAGAAUAUAAUAUUUUAUAAUAAUAGGUAUAGUGUAUCAAUUUUAAAAAAUGUAUUUAUUUAUUUUAGUUGGUUCAAAAAUGGCAAGAAUGGAAGCAAUGGGAAGCAUGGCAACAACAAUUUCAACAAUGGCAACAACAGGUUUAUUUAAAUUAUAUGUCUAAAAAAUAUGAAAUAUUGAAUUGUUUUCAACAUUGAUCACUUGUACUACUAAUAAUUCAUAAGCAUCGUUUAAAAAAAUAUGAAUUAAAAUUAACUUUUAAUUUAAUUAUUAGAUAAAUAAAUUAGUUAUUUCAAAAAAAUUAUCAUUAUCUAGAAACGGGCAUGCUCAAGAAGUGAUCUUUCCCAGACUUGUUAAAUUAAAGUAAAUUAUUUUUCUGAAAAUUUUCUAGAAUAUUUUUAUAAGCAUUUGAAGUUAAGUUGAGUUGUGUGAAAAGGGAACGUAUAAUUUUCUGAUUACAUUACAAAUUGUUUCAAUUAAUACAUUUUAAUUGUAUUUAUACAUUUUAUUAGACUGGGCAAAUUACUGCUACACCUAUACAACCGGCACCUCCAAUGCCUCCUAGUCAACCAAUGCAACCAAUACAAACUCCUAUAAUGCCAUAUCAAAACCAGCAAUAUCAACCAAUCAACCAAUACAAUCAAUCCAGACCACCUUUGCCACUAACUAAUGAUCUGUCACAAGUAAUAAUAUUUAAAAAAAAAAAAAAAUUAUUAUAAUUAGCAGUUAAAUUAAGCAAGUUAAGAAUUUAAUAAAUAUAUAAAACAACUUAAAUAAGAAAAUUCAAUAGUCAAACUUAAAAUAGUUGAAAACAGAUAAUACAUUAUAAUAUUUCCUUGAUCUAAUGAUGACCAUAGCCUAUAGUAAAUUUAAGUACAGUUUAGGACUAUAGCAUACAUGAAUUUCAAUUUUUCACAAUGUAAGUAGGUACCAAUUUUAGAUUCUAAGCAGAGCAAAGAAGCUUAUGUUUUUUUUCAAAAAUAUAUAUAUUUUUUUUCUGUGGACAACUUUUCUACCAGUAAUUUUGUUCCAACUUUUAUUAAGGUAGCAAUUUUUCUAAGAGGAAAUUUCACUAGGGAUAUACUUUCAAAGGUUGUUUUUUCGAUUUUCCCUGGAGUUUUCUCAGCAAAUGUGAAAAGCUAUGAAAACCAGAGAAAUCAGUACAACAUUGAAAAAAUAUUAUUAAAGAAAAUAUAUAGAGCCUAUUCUAUUAUUUUAUUAUAAUAUAGCAUGUAUAUUGUUGACAAAGCAUCACUAUCAACUGAACUCCGCUUAUAAUCGCUUUUUCGUAAGCAAUGGUUUAACAUUGUUUAUAGGUAUACAUUAUAUUACUUAUAACCGUGGCUGCACCCUUCCUCAUUAUCCUUGGAUGUCUUUUUCAUAUUUAAUUGUAUACGUUAUAGCUAAAACGAAAAAAAAAUGUAGGCAUUAUAAUAUUGAAUAUUUGAAGUAUGGUUUCAUUCAAUAUCAAUCGCCUACAAAUAUUACAUUAGUUAUGUGCCUUAUUUGCCAAAAGUUUUUAUAAAUGCAGCUAUGAAACCGUUAAGACUGCAAAGUUCAUGCUAUUAAAAAAAAUAUGGAUAUUUGGUUUUCUCCUAGCAAAAAACCAGAUACAUUCAUCUCAUUAGGACACCCUUUUUUUUUACUUGUACAAUAUACAUUAUACAAUAUUAUAAUAAAACAUACUUAUAUUUUAUCAACAAUAAAUACAUUUUUUUCAUUUAUGUCGCUGAAAUCCUAUGCCAGACACCCUUUGAUGUUGAAUUUCAGAAAUCUGGCUUAGAGGUGCACAGGGACCCAUUUAUUUGGUUCUAUAUGUACAUUUUUAGACCUCUAGAUUCAAUUGUUUCAGCUGUAGAUUAUGCACAAAUAAAUAGACAGCCACUUCAUUUUAUUAAUAUAUAAGUUGAUUUUUUUUGUCAUAAACCAGCAAUUAUCUCUGAGUAUUUUAAGUAAAUCAACUUUCUGUUUUCUGUUUUUUCCUAAUCACUAUAGAAUCGUUCAAGUUUUGUUUUAAAACUGUUUUUUAUUUUUACCCCUACUCCAUAUACCUUAAAUACGUACACACUUUUUGAUUUUCAAAUAGGAACCCUCCCUCUUGAACACAGAUUUGAAUAGAGAAUAUUUUUCUAGAAAUAUUGAUAUACAUAACACUAAUAUCAGAUUUAUUGUUAUAACUCAUAAAGGUAAAUCUGAUAUAAGAAUUAUGUACAUCAACAUUUCUAGAAAAAUAUUCUCUAUUCAAAUCUGUGUUUAAAAGAGAGGUUUUUAUUUGAAAAUCAAAAGUCUGCACUUAUUAGUAGGGUAUGAGUAGGGGUAAAGUCAUUCCAUAAUGAUUAGAAAAAACAAAAAUCAAGUUUACUUAAAAAAUCUUCCAUGGUUCAUGAUAAAAAAAUCACUAUAGAAUAUACAUAUAUUUCAAAGCAAUAGUACAUAAUUAAUAAAUUAUUACACAAGUACUUAUAAUAUUAUUGUUCACAAAAUAAAUAAUAUACAUUUUUAUCAUUAGACUACCAUAAAAAAUGAAGUUGGUAUGAAACGAGGAUUAGAACCUGAAUUCGAGAAUAAUGAAAAAAAAUUGAAAACCGAUACAGCUACUAAAAAAAAUGAAAUUGAAUUAACUGAUGAAACUGAAGCUUUAUUCGAAGAACAGUUUAUAUCAUGGGAAGAACAAUUUGUUAAAUGGAAAGAACAAAAUAAAAAUCAUCCAGAUAAAGUAUAUUUUUCCAAUUUUAUAAUUUGUAUAAAUUUGUUUAUCAAUACACAUACUAAUUAAUAAUAAUAAUAUAAUCUGUUUUAUAUUAGGUUCAGUAUUUAGAGUAUGAGAAAAAAUGGUUAACCUGGCGUGAUCAUUUAAAACAAAAAUGUGAAAUGUUAAAAAAAAAGAGAGAGCUCAAAAUGGCUGAAAAAAAGGUGAAUUUUAAAUCAAUAAUCUAUUUUGAUUAUUCUCUGUUAAAACGUAAUUCCAAUUGACUAUAUGGUUAACAUUACAUUAAAUUAUUAAUUUCUUUUGAUUUUAUUAUUUAGAAGGAAACUAUUCAAAUUGAAGAAAAUAAACUACAAUCUCAGCAAAUAUUAGGUUAUAAUCCAUUGAUGCAAAAAACUCCUUCAUCAAUAAAUGAACUUACUCCAAUCACUUUUCAGCAUUUGGUAAUUAUUAAA
RNAcentral lists this long non-coding RNA (5305 nucleotides) under Cinara cedri. The record is from RNAcentral. Lineage: Eukaryota; Metazoa; Arthropoda; Insecta; Hemiptera; Aphididae.